Salvia splendens (bonfire salvia) is the source of this 833-nucleotide long non-coding RNA. RefSeq lists it as uncharacterized. NCBI's taxonomy places the organism in Eukaryota, Viridiplantae, Streptophyta, Magnoliopsida, Lamiales, Lamiaceae. The transcript is spliced from 3 exons. The record is from RefSeq and is a predicted model, not a curated record.
CACUCCCUUUCCCACGUUGAAACCGUCCCUCUCUCCACUCACUCCAUAAGUCUCUCCUACAUAUAAACCAAAUCACCUCCUCUCUAUACGUUCAUCAAUCAAUUUUCCUAUUUUUCCCAUCUCUGCAACAAUAACUCAUUCCUCUGAAAUCCACGACAAACCUUGAAGAGUUGCCGAAUUCUCAAUCCAGUCUCAACCGUGAGAGGAGGCAGCAGUCCGCGGUGACUGAUCGGCGGUGAAGAAACUCGCCCUCGUCGCUAGAUAAGUCUGGAACGCAGCGGCGGAGGCGGGCGAACGGUGACCGGGCGAGGAGACAGCGAAGCAGCGACGGCGACUCCGGCGAGGAGACUGCACAGCAGCGACGGCGACGCACGGCUAGGUCCGCUGCUGUCUAAAUCAGAGGCGACGGAAGGCUGACCGCCGGCGAAAGGGUCGACGCGACGGAUUUCUCGCGAAUUGGAAGUUGACCGACGACCCUCGCGAGUUUUGGAGAAGGCGACGGGAGAUUGAGAAGAGAGAGAGGCGUGGAGAUGGUGGCAGUAGAAAUUGGGCCUCACUAAUUUAAAUUGGGUUGAGCGGCGACGAGAAUAUGGUGGUGUUGAGCAAGUAAAUUGGAGAAUGAAUUGUUCAUCCUUGGAUUAUGAGUGUCGUUGUGUCUUCACACAUGACAUCACUCUCUCUCUCUUGGUCGUUUCCGCUGUGACAUUUCUUUUACUUACCAUUUAUUGGGCCUGCAACUCAAAUUGUUUGGGCAUUGAAUACCUGGGAUUUUGUUGGAUAAUGUCAACUCUUGGUCAUUUUCUUUGAAUAUAAAUUAUUGGUCAAACUCGUUA